UUUGACCGCCAAAGGCUCAUAAUAAGUUUAUGGAUGACAGAAAAAAACAUGAACAUUAUCAAAUUUAAAAAAAGGAGAGCCUCAAAUAGAAAUAUAUAAGUGCAUGAAUCUUGGUGUAAAAAAAACAUUCCGAAGACUGCAAAUGGCAUAUAAUACUUCUGAAGAAUUUCUAGAAGAGUGGAAUACGGAAUUUGAAAAGAACAGUCUUGGGAACGUCAUUGUGUUGUGCUUGUACAUGUUAUGCGGUAUCACUGGUAAUAGCAUAGUCCUUGUCGUAUAUAAAUACCAAAUGAAAGAUGUUUCUGGUGAAAGGUAUUUCAUUCCGAUCUUGGCCGCAGCAGACGUUUUGCGUGCGUGGUGUGUUCUGUUUUGGACCUUAUUUUUUUGCUAUUGCAUUUGAACUAUACAAAUAGUAUUUAUUGUAAAGUUGCGGUAUUUCUGAUAUGCUGUACUGGAACUACGUCAAUUUUUCUAUUGAUGUGUAUUGCAAUACAAAGGUAAUUGAAAAUAUGCAAAAAUAUUACACUUUCAUUACAACGGAGACGACUAAUGAUUAUCUGUUCAUUUGUAUUUUCCAUUGCAAUGGCUUUACCCCUAUCCUUGACUUAUGAUCAUAUACAAUUUUCCAGCGGAGAAUAUACAAUAGGUAAAAGAUGUGGUAAAAUUGAGUAUGAAUCUCAACUCAAGGGAGCAGCGUAUGGAAUUGCUUUCAGCUCGAUGUCUUUACUAAUUCUUGCGUCCUUUGUUUUUCUAUAUGGACGAAUCGGUUGUACUAUCUACGGUCAUAUGAAACCCUAUCAAUUUAAACGUACCAUCGCACGUUUGUCAAGAAAUUUCCGUUACAGCAGAAGUACAGAUUUUCAAACUAAACAGUCUAGUAUAGAGGCCGAUGUUGUGUUAAAUGAAGAGCAGAAUCAAGCAUUUUCUGAGACCAAACUGAAUCACCUUACAUUAACUGACAAACCGGAACUUUCCUAAUGACAAAACAAGUAUUAAUGAAGGUACCGUAUCUCAAAAUGAAGGAAAGAUUGUCACGGCGAAGGGAAAAACUUCACGUGUAUCUUUUAACUGUAAAAACGAAUGAAAACCCCGCACCCUUUAAACAAGAGAAACAGAAGGGUUAAGAACAAAUUUUCUUUAAUGUUCAUGAUUAUCACAUGCGUUUUCGUUGUCAGUACUGCCCCAGUAUCUACAAUUCUGACGCUUGAAGGAAUUUUCCCUAAAUUUUGGGAGAACUUAUCAAGGAAACAACUUAUCAUUGUGUUAUGGUUAUAUCAUACGUACUUGAUAAAUAAUUUUAUCAACCCAUUGAUAUAUGCAUUCAUGGAUGAUCCGUUUCGUAAUGCUGCC
RNAcentral lists this long non-coding RNA (1350 nucleotides) under Mytilus galloprovincialis (Mediterranean mussel). The record is from RNAcentral. Lineage: Eukaryota; Metazoa; Mollusca; Bivalvia; Mytilida; Mytilidae.